CUAGAAUGUCAGGCAGAAUGAAAUAAGCACUCUGUGGAGGCAUGAGUAAAUUCCUAUGGAACUCUGGGAAUAAGAACAAUGAACUUGGAUGAUGGAGGAUGAGGGCACUUAAAAGGAACCAUAUAAGACCCAGGCCCUGUCUGCCUAAAUGUCCAACCAACUCCUAAUAGUGGGCUUGGCACCCAGAUCAUCAAAAAGAGACUAUGACAGGAUGGGGCUGGCACAAUGAAUUUUAUGCUGAGUUUUUCCUUAUGGAAGUCAGAUGCUAAUGGACUCACACUGCUUCUUAAAUUCACUCUUAGAGAAUACAAAAAGGUUAUCAGCAUAAAGAAGGAAACUGCAUUUCUCUUUGUUGCAUCAGGAGAAGGCAAAGUCAAUUCAUUUCAUAUUUGCGCUAUGUUGAUAAAGUUUAAAAAAUAAGUGCUGAACUUAGUCCUGUUUGACAUCACUUAAGACCAUAUUGCAUUUCAUCUAUCUCUGCCUAUUCUAAUUUUGGCAAAUAUGUUAAAUGAAAGAGGCAGUAAUAAUUGAGGUGACUGUCUGGAAUGCAUGAGUUGGUCCAUAGACAACUGUUGUCCAUAGAAUCAGAGGUGGAUGAUGGAGCAGCGGUGAAGUUUAUACAUGACCUUGAGAUGUUCUUAAACCUGAGGCAUAUCAGUACAAGCCCAUUAAAAGCAAUGGUUUUAUUUUCAAUUUCAAAAACAUAGAUUAUAAAGACAAUCUCAAGAAAAUAAGCCAAGCCAGAUUCAAAGAAAAUAUUUGCAUAGGAUAUAUCUGAU
Long non-coding RNA from Canis lupus familiaris (dog), 779 nucleotides. RefSeq lists it as uncharacterized. The transcript is spliced from 3 exons. Lineage: Eukaryota; Metazoa; Chordata; Mammalia; Carnivora; Canidae. The record is from RefSeq and is a predicted model, not a curated record.